CCUACGGGUGGCAGCAGUGGGGAAUAUUGGACAAUGGGCGAAAGCCUGAUCCAGCCAUGCCGCGUGUGUGAAGAAGGCCUUCGGGUUGUAAAGCACUUUCAGUGGGGAAGAAAGCCUUGGGGCUAAUACCCUCGAGGAAGGACAUCACCCACAGAAGAAGCACCGGCUAACUCCGUGCCAAGCAGCCGCGGUAAUACGGAGGGUGCGAGCGUUAAUCGGAAUUACUGGGCGUAAAGCGCGCGUAGGCGGUCUGAUAAGCCGGUUGUGAAAGCCCCGGGCUCAACCUGGGAACGGCAUCCGGAACUGUCAGGCUAGAGUGCAGGAGAGGAAGGUAGAAUUCCCGGUGUAGCGGUGAAAUGCGUAGAGAUCGGGAGGAAUACCAGUGGCGAAGGCGGCCUUCUGGACUGACACUGACGCUGAGGUGCGAAAGCGUGGGUAGCAAACAGGAUUAGAUACCCGGGUAGUC
RNAcentral lists this ribosomal RNA (466 nucleotides) under Vreelandella stevensii. Its description in RNAcentral is "partial 16S ribosomal RNA". It matches the Rfam family "Bacterial small subunit ribosomal RNA", at positions 338 to 795 of the family's 1533-position model. Lineage: Bacteria; Pseudomonadati; Pseudomonadota; Gammaproteobacteria; Oceanospirillales; Halomonadaceae. The record is from RNAcentral.